ACCCGCUGAACUUAAGCAUAUCAAUAAGCGGAGGAAAAGAAACCAACAGGGAUUGCCCUAGUAACGGCGAGUGAAGCGGCAACAGCUCAAAUUUGAAAUCUGGCUCUUUUAGAGUCCGAGUUGUAAUUUGCAGAGGGCGCUUUGGCUUUGGCAGCGGUCCAAGUUCCUUGGAACAGGACGUCACAGAGGGUGAGAAUCCCGUACGUGGUCGCUGGCUAUUGCCGUGUAAAGCCCCUUCGACGAGUCGAGUUGUUUGGGAAUGCAGCUCUAAAUGGGAGGUACAUUUCUUCUAAAGCUAAAUAUUGGCCAGAGACCGAUAGCGCACAAGUAGAGUGAUCGAAAGAUGAAAAGCACUUUGGAAAGAGAGUCAAACAGCACGUGAAAUUGUUGAAAGGGAAGCGCUUGCAGCCAGACUUGCUUACAGUUGCUCAUCCGGGCUUUUGCCCGGUGCACUCUUCUGUAGGCAGGCCAGCAUCAGUUUGGGCGGUAGGAUAAAGGUCUCUGUCACGUACCUCUCUUCGGGGAGGCCUUAUAGGGGAGACGACAUGCAACCAGCCUGGACUGAGGUCCGCGCAUCUGCUAGGAUGCUGGCGUAAUGGCUGU
RNAcentral lists this ribosomal RNA (603 nucleotides) under uncultured fungus. RNAcentral describes it as "eukaryotic LSU rRNA". It matches the Rfam family "Eukaryotic large subunit ribosomal RNA", at positions 23 to 641 of the family's 3401-position model. Lineage: Eukaryota; Fungi. The record is from RNAcentral.